AAUAAUCAUAAAAACUAAAGGUAGGACACACCAGUCAAGACUUAAACUGCAUCCAGUUGGCUGAUGAGGUGACAGACAGACCAUGAUUGGCUAAAUGAUGUCACAGCACCAGCCUGCUGCCUCAGGACUUCAUUCCCCAGAAUCCCCCUCUGCAAUAAGCAUGGACGAAACAGGAAGUGAUGGAAGAGUGUAACAAUCACCACCUGACAUACUCAUUUUACACCUGUCUCUCUCUGUGACCUGUCUCUCUCUUUCUCUGUGUCUGCAGAUGUCUCUCUACCUUCCAUCUUGUCUACUCAGUUCAUUAUUCACCCAAAACAGACCUCAGCUGUGUUCUAUACAUAGAACAACAUACACCAACACCCUCCUCCACUUAUAUAUUACCACUGUCUGUCUGUCUCUCUCUCUGUCUAUCAGAUUUAUGUCUUUUUGUCCACAUUGUGUCUGUCUCUGCAGCUCAGAUAAAACACCUGUCACCCAUCAUGUGACCCUUCAGCCAGAACUUGGCUGACUUGACAGAAAACAGGAGGCCAAGAAUAAUGAAGAUGAUGAAGGUGGUGAUGAUGGUGAUUAAGCAGAGCCGCAGGGUCGCGCGCGCUCUGGCACGCUGCGGUCCUUCCGUUCACAGCCUCGUCCCGCAAGGUUCGCUCCGGUUUAACUCCCGCGUCAUGUAUCUCGGAGCCAGGACAGAUGCAGAGCCACAGCGGAGGAGGAGAGAACCG
Scatophagus argus is the source of this 722-nucleotide long non-coding RNA. RefSeq lists it as uncharacterized. NCBI's taxonomy places the organism in Eukaryota, Metazoa, Chordata, Actinopteri, Scatophagidae. The record is from RefSeq and is a predicted model, not a curated record. The transcript is spliced from 3 exons.